Cynoglossus semilaevis (tongue sole) is the source of this 337-nucleotide long non-coding RNA. RefSeq lists it as uncharacterized. The transcript is spliced from 3 exons. The record is from RefSeq and is a predicted model, not a curated record. Lineage: Eukaryota; Metazoa; Chordata; Actinopteri; Pleuronectiformes; Cynoglossidae.
CCUCUUUGUUUAACUGUUUGUUGUGAAACCUUCAGACUCUGGUACCAGAACCCAGGAUUUUUCACGGCCAGACAGAGAGCUGCUCUGGGUUCUGCCUCUCUGUCCAGGAUCAUCUGCGACAACACAGACAUCACAAUGGUUCCGGCAAAUUCUUUUGACGCCAUCUCAAACAGAAACCGUCUCGUCCGCUGCAACAACAUCCGAGCCCUGGAUCUAGCUGCCUGGUUGGAAAGACCAAUCGGUCCUAGGUGUUUAGGUGCUGACUGUGUUGAAGGCUUUGGAGCAGAGAAUAUAACUCAGCCACUGACCGACCCCCCAGUCCUGGUAUUGGAUGAGG